Potamilus streckersoni is the source of this 77-nucleotide non-coding RNA. The record is from the annotation of a GenBank genome assembly. Lineage: Eukaryota; Metazoa; Mollusca; Bivalvia; Unionida; Unionidae.
AACCUCUCCGGUGGCCUAGUGGUUAGAGCGACCGCCUCGUACGCGGGAAGUUCUGGGUUCGAUCCCCAGUCGAGUCA